CCCAAGUGACCGAACAUUCAAGAGCUUUCUCCUCUCCUUUCUCUUCUCUAACUUUAGGCUAUGAUGAACAAAGAUGGACAAAACUUUGUUCUUUUCACCCCUUUUUCUUUUAAUAAAAUUUCAUAUUUCAUCCAUUUAAUUCUUUAAUACAAAAGACAUGAAAUGCCCAUCAUGGAACAUUUACCUAAACCAUUAUCAUGGAACAUUUACCUAAUCCAUUAUCAUGGAACAUUUACCUAACCCAU
This 245-nucleotide long non-coding RNA is filed under the name Gossypium barbadense (sea-island cotton). RNAcentral's name for it is "long non-coding RNA (GBAR_LNC006647)". Lineage: Eukaryota; Viridiplantae; Streptophyta; Magnoliopsida; Malvales; Malvaceae. The record is from RNAcentral.